AACACGUGGGCAACCUGCCUGUAAGACUGGGAUAACUUCGGGAAACCGGAGCUAAUACCGGAUAAUCCUUUCCCUCACAUGAGGGAAAGCUGAAAGACGGUUUCGGCUGUCACUUACAGAUGGGCCCGCGGCGCAUUAGCUAGUUGGUGAGGUAACGGCUCACCAAGGCGACGAUGCGUAGCCGACCUGAGAGGGUGAUCGGCCACACUGGGACUGAGACACGGCCCAGACUCCUACGGGAGGCAGCAGUAGGGAAUCUUCCGCAAUGGACGAAAGUCUGACGGAGCAACGCCGCGUGAGCGAAGAAGGCCUUCGGGUCGUAAAGCUCUGUUGUUAGGGAAGAACAAGUAUCGGAGUAACUGCCGGUACCUUGGCGGUACCUAACCAGAAAGCCACGGCUAACUACGUGCCAGCAGCCGCGGUAAUACGUAGGUGGCAAGCGUUGUCCGGAAUUAUUGGGCGUAAAGCGCGCGCAGGCGGUCUCUUAAGUCUGAUGUGAAAGCCCCCGGCUCAACCGGGGAGGGUCAUUGGAAACUGGGAGACUUGAGUGCAGAAGAGAAGAGCGGAAUUCCACGUGUAGCGGUGAAAUGCGUAGAGAUGUGGAGGAACACCAGUGGCGAAGGCGGCUCUUUGGUCUGUAACUGACGCUGAGGCGCGAAAGCGUGGGGAGCGAACAGGAUUAGAUACCCUGGUAGUCCACGCCGUAAACGAUGAGUGCUAAGUGUUAGAGGGUUUCCGCCCUUUAGUGCUGCAGCAAACGCAUUAAGCACUCCGCCUGGGGAGUACGGCCGCAAGGCUGAAACUCAAAGGAAUUGACGGGGGCCCGCACAAGCGGUGGAGCAUGUGGUUUAAUUCGAAGCAACGCGAAGAACCUUACCAGGUCUUGACAUCCUUUGCCACUCCUAGAGAUAGGAUUUUCCCCUUCGGGGGACAAAGUGACAGGUGGUGCAUGGAUGUCGUCAGCUCGUGUCGUGAGAUGUUGGGUUAAGUCCCGCAACGAGCGCAACCCUUGUCCUUAGUU
RNAcentral lists this ribosomal RNA (1021 nucleotides) under uncultured Bacillus sp. RNAcentral describes it as "bacterial SSU rRNA". It matches the Rfam family "Bacterial small subunit ribosomal RNA", at positions 112 to 1116 of the family's 1533-position model. The record is from RNAcentral. Lineage: Bacteria; Bacillati; Bacillota; Bacilli; Caryophanales; Bacillaceae.